CAGCUUUUCUUGGUUUAUUAGAGUGUUUUGUUUAACCUUUAAUUUUGAACCCGCAUUAUUCAUACUUUAUGUAUGACUAUAUCUAAUUAAAUGAUCUAAAAUACCGGUAUAACAAGUGUAUAUCUUAAUUAAAACACAAAAGAAGGGAAUGCCCUGCUAUCUCGGGUAAAAAUCAUGCAAGUUCACACCGUACUGAAUUAUAAUAUAUAAUACUCGUACACAAGCUGAUUAAGACAUUUAUGCCAUAUUUAUGUUAAAAGUAUAACUAAUUACUUCAUAAUUUAUGUGGAAAUGUUAUGUUUUUGUGUUUCCAUCCAAACUCUGUGUAAGUGGAAGUUGGUGCUUUUGAGCCUGCGCAGUUGCCAUCCUCACACAAACUCAAACAACAAACAGCGAAACAGUUGGCAACCGAAUGCAUUUUUGAAGGGAAGAGGGAAGGUAGAGAAAGAUGAAAACAUAAUAAAACAAGUAAUAUCAACUAGAGUUCAUGAGCGAAAAUGUGAUUGCAAGUAGUUACGGUGUGAAGAUGUGCGAAGAAUGAAAGGAAAUGCGGCCACAAACAAAUUUAUGAGAUUUCAACAGCGACGAAUUGAUGCAAUCAACAAAACAGCGAAAUGGCCAAAAUAAAAACGAAAUUUGGAGCAUUUAAAACAGUUGUGAGGUUAUAAGAUUCAGCGGGUAUAUUGUCGUUUGUAAGAGUUACUCGAAAUUUAGUUAAAUGGAAUAAAAUAUGAAAAAAUAA
This is a long non-coding RNA of Bactrocera latifrons, 742 nucleotides long. RefSeq lists it as uncharacterized. Lineage: Eukaryota; Metazoa; Arthropoda; Insecta; Diptera; Tephritidae. The record is from RefSeq and is a predicted model, not a curated record. The transcript has 2 exons.